CUAAGAGGCUAUUUAAGAAUUCACCAAAAAAGCCUAUUCACAGAAGGUGGUACAGUCUGAUGUCCUGAUUAACCAGAUUAAUGAGGUGGCUAUUGAAGCAUUCACUAUCAGGAAGUCCGCAGACUGCAGCCACCUGUGGAACAGACACAUGGUUGUCCAUCUCGUGCAUGGACAAACAUGGCCUACGUGGGCUGACCAUGGUGGCCCACACACUUGUGGAGAACAACCCCCAGGAAUGCAUAUUAGAGGGAGUCUUUGCAUGUGGGAAACCAGUUGCCACUGGACGUGGAGGGCAUCCUCUGGAAGGCGAAGCUCCCAUUAAGAGUUUCAGCAGCCGUCAUCACC
This is a long non-coding RNA of Eptesicus fuscus (big brown bat), 345 nucleotides long. RefSeq lists it as uncharacterized. NCBI's taxonomy places the organism in Eukaryota, Metazoa, Chordata, Mammalia, Chiroptera, Vespertilionidae. The transcript has 3 exons. The record is from RefSeq and is a predicted model, not a curated record.